AGGGGGAUGAAGCGAAACUGGGCGGAACUGGGCCAGUGGGUCUCCGGCAGCCAUCUGCGAUUUGCUGCGAUGGCUCCGGUGCACAGUUCGCGUCGCCUCGGCACUGCAAUUUCGCGGUUUUCGCGAGUCGAAUCUCGUCAUCGUGCCUCGUCCAUCAUCAGUGCGAGCGAUACUCGAAUGCGAUGUACGCGAAGUGCGCGAAAAAAUCGGUGAAUCGAAAGCGAGAAUCACAUAUCAAGUGCGAGUGUCAGUGUCGAAAUCAUCGAGCGAAGAAAUCAUCGGGCGUCGCGAUUAAAUCUGUGUUAAAUAAAAUUGUUUCAUUGUAUUUUUAGCACUUAUGUACGCGUAGUACGCUAGUGUUACGUUAUUCUGAUUAUUUCUUGGAUCAUGCACGACUGACCAACGUCAAUCUACGAACGCGAACUUCGUUCUAUUUAAUGACUAUCGUAACGGUUGAUUACGGCAGUGAAACUGCAAUCAGCUUCAAUCAGCAGUUGUUUUGCAAAGAAAAGAGGAAAAAAUAGAACAAGAAAAACAACUCGUUCUUGACUUACUGCAGUCUCAAUGUCUGCAUGAUAAUUUUCUUAUUCGCAAUGUAUUCUUUCGGAAUAACUGCAGUAAUCUUUCUUUGCAAUCUUUGUUAGUACGCUUUUUCUUCCCUGUUUGUUUCGUUACGUGUUUUCCGCUUUACGUAGCAUUUUUUAUUCCGCCAGUCGUUUUCGCUUUGCGUCGUAAUUAACUCCUGAGAGAGACUGCCUGUUCCAGACAGCUAAUAAGACUUAUCCGACCCUUCGUCUGUACCUGUUUUUAAGUCGACACUUUUAGCAGCAUUACGCAAAAAUAAAUAUCUGCAAUCGUAUUCUCAUUUUGUAGUUGCUCUCGUACUCAUAAUCAUAUUAUAAUAUUCGCAGAAAAUAAAUUGCACCACAAUUAUAAAUAAAGAUAUUUUACGUAUUAUUUAAUUUCGUCUUUCAUUGAUAUUCAUUCUGCCUGAAUUAUUUUCCCUCAAUUAAGCUUUAGUUCCCAUUCCAGUGAGUCUUUAAGAUUCUAAAGCUAAAGGAGAGAAGAAAUAUUAUGGAAAGUGAUACAUAAAUGACAAUGGUGAUAUCCAGUUGUAAUUGAACAGUGUUUCUCAUUAUGAUUCAAGAAAUUUCCUUCGGUGAAAUUAGAAAAAGCAGUGAAAUAUUCUUGGAAAUCUUGUGUGGAAACGCGAUCGAUAAUCCCAGAUUUCGAUCAAAUACCUGUCAGAUAAGUUUCAUGAUAUUUAACAUCUUUGCAGAUAACAUCUUUACAUGUACCCAUCUCUCCUGCCAAAAAGAAAUAUUGAAAGUAGCUUCCAGUUAUAUCACACGUUUGUUUUACACUUAAUUACGAUCACAUAUACAUGUACAUAUACACACCGUUACAUUUGUUGAAGAUAAGCGCUAAUAUCGCGAAACAAGGAAGCAAUUAACGCGUAACAAGUAACCGGAUGUGCGUAAUCAACUACGACGAGCGUUUCUCUCGAUUUUCAUACGAUUUUCAAAUAAAGAAAGAAAAUUUCUUGCUUCCCACAUUUCAUAAAAAUUGAAAUUAAAAAUACGAUAUUUCGAACUUGUUUGUCAAUUUUACUUGUUUUUUUUACCAUCAUCACUCAUUAGGUGAACGAAAAAUUAUACAAUGACGUCUCUCUUUCACCAACUGACAUAACUAAAUGAAAAUAAAAAUAAAGUCUCAAGAAUUCAACGUAAUAGCGACGUUUAACCGCGUUUUGUCUCGCUUGCCGACGUUUUUCGCUAAAUUUCGCAUUCGCCUCGUGUCGUGGUCACGGAGAUGCCUUUAUCCGCGCGAGAUACGCCCUUAUCAGAUCGGUAGGGGCCCGCACGAGUCGCAUUUCCACGCGUGUAAUCUUUGUCUCGGUGACCUGCGACCCGCCGUCACGCGCCGCUGCCAACGCGCCCGCAGAAAUGUUGCACAAGAUCUACGCGGCGUAUCUGCAUCUGCGGCAUAAUGGGCGCGACCGCAAUGUCUGUUACAUUCCGCAGGUACACAAGCCGCAUUUCGGGAAGACACGACUGCGAAUAAAUCAACGUAGCAGUCGGGCGUUGCGCAAACGUGUUAUUUUAAUGUCCGUUCAGCAAGGCUGCGUAAUUAUAACGUAACAGUUUCUCUCUCGCACAAGCUAUUUCUUUUUAUUUUAUUUCCCGUACGAGCAACAUGAUAAAUUAAUGUAUUAAUAUAUAAUAAUAAUGAUACUUUUGUCAUGUGGGAAUAAUGUGUAAAAUUAUUUUAAUAAUCAGAGAGAGAUUGGAAAAUGGAAAUUAAAUCUAGAAAAUUUCCUCUGGAAUUCUGCCCAUUAUUCAUUCAAUUCCGUUCAUUACAAAAGUUAUCUCCGAGAAAUGGGAUAUUGGCUGCCGGAGUGAUUUAUUAUAUUCUGUCACUCCGCGGAAUCAGAAAUAUGUGUACGCAUUGGUAGCUGAACGGGCAAACAGCGACGUUAAUACGCAUUCCCAAGAGGAGUGUUGUUCCGCCGGUGCAAUAAAAUAUCGCGGAGCGACGGGGAUUAUUAUACGCGUAAUUUAUACCACACCGUGCACUCCUUGCAUUCCUUCGUGCAGCAUUGCAACUGUUAUAACUCGUUACCGGCGCGAUUUCUCUCCGAGCGGAUCGCGCGCGCGUCCGUUCGACAAUAAAUCCUUAACGAACGCUACACUGUGAUAACACGACGCUUUAUCUAAUCGCCCAUUUUUUUUCGCCAGGCGUAAACGCGCCUAAUCCGCUCAAAAAAAACAGCUUGUCAGCGCGAGCACGAGCUGUAUGCACCCGGUGCAUGCGCUCGUUUGAACUCGCUCGAUCGUUCUUUCGUUCGAACGAUCGAACACCGUCAUCCCUGUCGUCCACCUCGCUAUCGCCCCUGAUAAACGCACGUGUUGGCUGUCCGAUUUUGUUGCCCUCCUUUGCGAAACUCGCUGCAACUCGCUCGAGAGGUGUCUGAGGUCGCGGGCCCAUUCAGCGCCUACGCCUGUCCGCGAAGCUGAUACGAAGCGUGCUACGCGUGGUCUUCAUGGUCGAUCGAGUCGAAUCGACAAGGCGACAUCGCCAACACUUUGUGGCAGCGUCGCAGCCAGAAGUCUCCCGCUUAUCUCGAUCAAAAGCCAACGCUGACAUUAUACGGCUGCAGCAAUGCAUUACAAUUUAUUGAGUGUAUGCAAAAGUCACUUUUUGCACAUUUCUCACAAACCUCUGCCAAUGCCAAAAAACGUGAGAAAGCGAGAAUUUAUUUAAAAUUUAAAUAAUAAUAGAUAAAAUUUAAAUUUAAAUAAUUUUCAGAAUGUUGAAAAAAAAGACCAAAACAUUUGCAUGUACCUAAUACCCGUUGCACACAGCGACGCCGAUAUCUCGAUAUCUCGGUAUCAAUUAGUCGCGCGUGUUAAUGCGAUAACGCGCUCGGCCCGAGCGCAUUAAAUCCGCGCGAGCGGAGUUGUUAUUCUUGAUCGUUAGAUCCAACGUCAUUGCUAAUGUGUGCCUUGCAAGUAUCGGCGAAGAUAAUCGCAGAUUGUGCGGCACGCAACGUUGACACUCGCGCGAGAUGCGAUUCACGACAGCGAUUAUCGAUCGCGAACACCAUGGGGAAUCCCCUCGUUCCAACGAGAGCUAAUGCAUCAAUUUUCACGUGACGAUUCGAACGUCGCUUCAGGCCUUAAGGGAUGAAGAUACGAGAUGGAGAAAGGAGUAACGGGUCUCUCGCCCCUUGCUCCGUCGCGUAGCGACUAUACUUCGAGAGUCCUCUGAGAGCUGAUGGAACACAUGUAGCAUUAUGGAAAUCGCGACGAGGAGCGCGUAAUGAUAAUCCUAUGCGAAUCUACAUAGAAGCGCGCGAUCGCGAUACGCGCGCAGGAAAAUGUCUUCUCGAGCGAGGCUCUCUAAUAUCCUCUCGUCGAGCACGGAGGAAAUAACUCGAAGGGCGUGUUUGCACAUCGAUUGUGAACUAUAUAAUAAUCGCUCGUGGGUGGGAGCGGUGGCAGGCCUAUGCCAGGGAGCAGCACGACGAAGGUCAGACUCGAAUUGCGUCUCGACGGUGCAGCCAGCUGCAGCGUCUAUAUACGUCGGGAAUCGGCGAGAGAGGACGAGAAGGAAGAGAGAAUGGAAAGAAGGAGGCCGUCUGCAGCACAAGACGAGACGUACUGCAAUGCGCGGAGGGAGGCGGGGAGAAUCUCUUAUAUCGCGUUUAUACGGGAGGGAAACGAAAAAAAGAGCGAGACGAUGUGUCAAACGCGAGUGAACGUUGAAAUGAAUUGUCGUUGCGAACGUGCACCGUAACGUAAUUCGUGCAUUUGCGAAAAAGGAGUAUUAAUUGAAGAAUUCUUCCCUACGCCGCAUCAUGUAACAGAAAUCCAUUAUUUAAAUACGAAAGGAUUCAAUUUGUUUUUCUCAUUUCCUCAAAUAAAAAUUCUCGCGAAUAUUUACGAGUUCUCUUUCUCGCGAGAAUCGGAGCAAAAAUCAAACGAAAAAACAUAAAAAAAGAAACUCGAGGAUGAAAUAAGAAGAAAGAGGGAAGAAGGAAAGCAAGGAAAUAAUAUCGAUAAAAUCUCCUAUAAAAAAUACGGGACGUUUCUGGUAUAAGUGAUAUCGGCAAAUCCGGCCGUUCUUUUUCCAUCCUUCCCUUCCCCCUGGAUCGGGAAGCUUUAAUAGUGGGUGUCCUAAUCGCGAGUGACAGAAUCUCGAACACGUUCUCGUCCCGGCGGCCGCGUGUGACAUCCGCGUCCCAGCACACAAAUGUCAAAAGAUAAGAACGCGGUCGGAAGAAAUUAUAGUGUUUGCGCUAGGUAUCGACUGUCACAGUCCCCUUUACUACGAAAAAGGAAACCAUUUAGACGUCGCUCGCAGCAGCCAUCGAAUCUCGUCUAUAUGCGACGACGCGAUUCCUUCCGCCGACAAACGAUCGAUAAGUCGGAGGAACCGGGAACAAAGAGCGUCGCGAGCACGAAGAAUUUCUCGGUUAUUUAUGUGCGGAUGCGUUCGUCAUACUUUCAGAAAUAAUGUAAAAGUCGAUAGUCAGUUGCCACGCUUUGCUUUUAUUUGUUCAUUAAUCUCAUUUCAUGUUAAUUUUGCAACUUUUUACGUUUUGUUCCCAGAUUUAUUUUACAUAUUUUAAUAUCAUAAAUAUAUUUUAGAUAUUUUUGAUUCUAGAAUUAUAAAUAGAUCGAAUAAAAAAAAUAUACAUGUGAGAAAAGUAAAAUCUGUCGGCUUAAAGCGAGACUUUUCGUCGACGUGCAUCAAUCAAUGAAAACGCCGGGCUGUUAACGGAGUUGCUUAUGUACCGUUGCAAUAACACAGAUUUCGUCGGUGUUUGCGACGGCGGCUCUGCGAGACGGCUAGAUAUACCUGGCAUUAGCAACAAUUUCCGUACAGUUAUGCAGCGAAUUUAUACGGCGAUUGCUCGGAUAAUAAGAGCCGCUGUCGUAUUCUCUAUCAUAAAUAUGUUAGACGCGAGGCGCAUUCGUGACAAGAACUGGACGACAGGCCUUACGCGGGAUCGCGCUCAGCUUCUGCGAGAACAGAUGGCACAAACGGAACGCGUUUCUCACGGAAACGGAUCGCUUUUUUAGAUUCGCCUCCUUGAAUAGCGGGAGACACUUGCACGCGUUCGCGUUUCAUUCUCACGCAGUUAAUGGACGAUGAUAUGAGUUACGUGUCAUCUGAAAAUUUCGAGAAAACGCACGAUUGUUUGAUCAUCGCAAUCUUAAAGCAAGGAUCUAUUUCUUUGAGCAAUGCGUUGCAAAAUCACCAGAUGAAAGAUUGAAAGAUUACGAAAAUAUUCAAGUGUUAUGUCAAACAUCGUCGAGAUUGAUUCUUAUCUUGUUUUGAUGAAUACACAUCGCUAAAUUAAUAGAAUACUGUAUAGUAUUAAAUUGUAUGGAGUAUUGUAUAAAUCACGGGCGAUAUUUUGGAGACGAGAGAGAGGUGAGACUCGUUUCGAAACGGAGAUGAGACACGCGCACCCUUUCGUACGCUCCGGAGUCCUUGAAAUUCAUUGAAAUGCGUCCGGUGGAAGUGGCCGGAGGUCGUCUAUUUUUUUCUGCUCCUAUAAAACGAUCGUCUCUGUGCCCGGUGAUGAAGUACUGUCCCGUUUUAUUACGCAGUUCGGCCGGCGCGACGUUUUGGAUCAUGAAGAGCGACCCAAAAAAAAGCGAUCAGUACAGUCGAACCGUCUGUCUCAGUCUUCUCUCUUUUUUCUCUCCCUCUAUCUUUUCUAUCUCCUUCUCUCUUUUUAUCACGUACGAUUCGCAAGAUCUUGUUCUUGCGACUCGCAGUUACAUAAAAUGAUCCAUAGAUGGAAACUCGCGUCGGUCGUCGCCGCUCGGGAUUCCUCUGCGUGACGCACCGAAUUUGGAACUUGGAUUACGUUUAUGUUAUCGCUCCCUCGGGAGUGACAGAUUUUCAUCUUUCUCCCACUUGUACGUCAUCGCAAUUGACACACAAUUAAAGCAUAGUCACGUAAUUAAAAGUAUUCUUAUUAUAAAUCUUCGCAAUCUAUUUAUCUCCUUUUUUCGAAACGUGCCUCCACUGUCAAAGAUUCCCACAGAAACCAUCAGCAUUAUAAGCGGCGAGCCAAGGAAAUGAAACUACAAACGCCUGGUUGCGAUCACCAGCGAGCGACUUGAUAUCGCCUAACGGUAAGUGCGGGUCAAACGACCCCGAUUUUUUCCUUAUGCUGCUCGCGACGCAGAUGAACGAAUGAACAAACAGCCUGCUGCACAGAUGUAUCUCUCCGCGGAUCCAGUUUGAGUGAUGAGACUAGACCUUGGCUUCGAUUCAACGCCAAUGACUGGUUUUCACGGUGCUUCGACUGGAUCCUAUCAUCCGCCGAUCGCUGCCGAUCACGAGUGCCAGCGAGAUCGUUCAUCAUAAUGACACCGCCAUAUCAACUAUGGAAAUCGAUCGAUCAGCAGCACAGUCUUCCCGUGACAAGACAGUAAUGAGUUAUCUCGAGGAAAGUAAACGAUUUCAACACUGCGUGCUACGCGCGAAGCGAUACACGCAUCCGAAUGAUGCGCAAGAUUAUUUCAAGUGGGAUCUGCGGUAGGUGGUCCAACCGUUAUUUGCAUUCCGGUCCGGAUGACGGCACCGCCAGCACAAAAAGAAGGGACAUGGCUGAGACUUACAGUCAAAGAAGAACGUGACCAUAAUUAUAGAAAAUUUAUAGAAAGCUAUGAGCACACUUAAUAAUAAUAAUGAUAUAUCAGGAUCUGUAUAGAAUUUUUAAAUAAGUAAAACUUAAUGGUGAUGAAAUAAUUACUGAACAUUUAAAUAAUGAAUAAUAAAAAUACGUGACAAAAUACGCCGUUCCUUGCUAAAAGUUCAACAACAAUUAAAAUUUUCUCCAUAGUACAUCGUAAGAAAGGAUGUUCUUUAUCGGCUCCCAUAAGAAUUUCAGGUCUAUCUUUUACGGACUGACAGUUAUGCCGGUCACGCUCUUGUUUGACUGACGUGCAUAAGAACCGCGCUGAUUUCGCGAGUUCUCAUGCACUCGCAGAGACGGCAUACCCUUUUCGACCAAGAAGGGCACUCCGGCGCACUCCUUCAAGGACGGUGCACGCGAUUCGCUGCACCGUGUAGCUAAUGCCGCUAAUGCGAUUAACGCGCCUUUAUCGUUGGACGACGCGUAUGAUCUCGUAACGAGACGUGUGAGCGAAAUUCUUCAGAAUGGAGGGAACGCUGAAAGGAACGCGGAGGGAACCUCGACCGCUGCUGCGAGUUCUCGUGCGACGAUCACGAAGCUACAAAUUGUAUCGCGUGGGAAUGUUUAGGGUGCACGAUUCACGCUAGCGUGCAAGUUCAAAGUUAAUACAGAUCGAGGGGUCGCAUUGCGAGGAAUAACAUGACGAUGACGAUCGUGAUAGUUUAGAUAGAGGAAGAAUUUGUUGUAUUGUAUGUGUAAAAGUUACGGAGCUUCUUAUAUUAUACGCUUGUUACGUUUAUAUUUAUAACGCGCGUUGGAAUAUAAUUGUGACGGUUUCUUCGCACGCCGGGCGUGAAGAUUCCGUAUAAUUUGUAUAAUUUGUCCACACGCAAAGAGAAAGAGAGAAAGCAAAUUUUUCUCAAAGAUAUCAGCAGUCAUAAAUUAAAAAGAUACUAGUUUCAUCUGAUUAGAAUGCGCUUGUAAUGUAAUCCGAAAAAAUUGCAGGAAAAUAUAAGAAAAUGUGUCUUGUACAUAUUAUAUACAGCGAAUGUUCGUGUCAUAAUCAUGACAUUAAAACAGUGUCUGCACAAAGUGCCAAUCAAUUAUAGUGAUGCAUAAAUUCUAAUUCUAAUUACGCGUACAUGCCAGUCACGCGCGGUGUAAUAUGAUACCCAUCUCAUUCAAUAAUAAUUCUCUUCAUGUACGAUUCCCUGUGAUUCUGCGUAAUGUGUGUGUCAUAUCUAUUCAAAUCUAUCUAUUCAAAUAUCUAUUCGCUAUCGGAAUCACUGAUGUACGGGGAACAACGGUAAUUUGCAACGAUGUGUUCAGAGGCUAGCCGACUCUCGCGUUUUGUCAGGCUUUAAUUUAUUAUACAAAUUUCAAUUUAUUACACAAAUUCUGCGAAGCCUCGAUUGCAUUAUUACGCGAUUAUUGUUCUCCGAAAAGUAUCGGUGAGGAGUACUCGCGCAGAGCUGCAAAGGAACUUUUCCGCGAUAAGUCGCGUUAAAUACGCGAUGUCGCCUCGCGCUGGCAGCAAAACUGUUGAUCAACGUUCCACUUGAACCGCAACUUCCGCAGGAAUUGCGUGCAAUGAAUUUAUAAAUGUCAACGGGACGAAAAUAGACUGCGCGUGCCGAGAUAUAAACGCAGUUACGUAAACGCCGCUCCUGCAGUAGAAGUGAAGAAAGAAGGAAAAAAGACCGCGCAUUUGCGCAAUAAUGAUCCGAUCGCGGCGCAAACCAGAGCGCGCAUUUGCCACCUCUGUGAAGUUGGCCCCCCAACUUUUAAAUUUGAACAAAAUGAGUAGAGUUCUGAUUGCCCCCCGAAGAGUUCUACCGAUUUACCCUUAAUACUCGAUGCGCUCAAGUCGAAAACUAAAAAGUUCUGGCGACUUGCAGUUUCAAAAUUCGAAAAUUUCGGAACUGCGGAAUUAUUAAAAAAAUUUUCGACGUGAGGAACUUAAAAAUUUUCGAACUCUGAAAUUUCGAGUUGUCAGAACUUUUUAGUUUUCGACUUGAGCGCAUCAAGUAUUAAGGGUAAUCGAUAGAACUCUUCGGGGAGCUAGCAGAAUUCUCAACAGAACUGCGGAUUUAUGAACAAAAUUUUUCAUCUCUCAAAUAAACAAUAAAUGUUUUUCGCAAAAUCCGAUAUUUUAUUGAUUUCUUUUAAAAUGGACUGAGAACUCUUCGGGGGGCAAUCAGAACUACUCAUUUUGUUCAAAUUUAAAAGUUGGGGAGCCAACUUCACAGAGGUCACAGGCCCCCGGGUUUGUUUUGGAUUUUAAAACUAGGCCGAUGGGUCGACGGCCUCUUCGACGAAUUCUCGCCUCUUUCCCUCCCUGGAACUCUCCUCGAUUGCCUUUUCUGCCACGUUCUUUCUCCACCUCGCCCCUCUUCUGCCCGGCUUCUUGAUCGCGUCGCGGCUCCUCUACCUCCCGCUCCGCUUGGGUUACGCGAACCCAUAUCGGCUAACUUACGCUACGAGCGAGUGAGCGAGCGGGAUCAGCUUGUUGCGUGACCCACACAAUCGCGCGCGAGGAGAAUGCACGCUUUUGAGAGGCACGCAGGGACGUAGUUUUCGGCUGGUUUCUCGUAGCUUCGUGGACAAAGGCGUUGGGUAUUCUCGGUACGUUUGAUGUUUCCCUCGAAUGGUGAUGGUGGUACCCCGUAUUUCGCCACGGGCGAUGAAUUCUAUUUCCUUUCUACGGGGAACUGGCUGAAGAAAGAGGAUGUACAGUUAUGUGUACAGCGGGGAAUUAAUUGCGGUCGAUAUUUAUGUGAAAGAUGGUAGAAAGAAUACCUGGAUGUUUAAAUGUGGUGUAUACAUUUUUUCAAGUUGCUAGCUUUUGACUGUAUGUGAGUUGAUAUUCGAUCAAUUAAAACGUUACUAAACUUCGAUAAAACUUCGAUAAAACUUUGAUAAAAAGAAACUUAAAUGCAGUGCACGUAUUAAAAACAGACAAACAUGUACCAUCCCACCAAUAAUCCGACAACACGUAUAUGCGAUAAAAUAUAGAUAACAUUUAUAGAUUAAUAUUUAUAGAGGGUUGUCUAUUAAAUAUAGACAACCCUCGCGCAAUCCGCCCCAAACGUAACAAGACGGAUAAAAAAUGAAGACCAAGUUCGCCGCGGCAGUUUCCAGUCCAGCGGCGCAUUAUUCAUUAAGAAUCGAAGUCUCGGGAACGGGGAGCCCGGCUUCCCUCUUUCCGAAUCCGCCCUGGAUCCGUCUUUGUUGGCGAGGCGCGCAUUGCCGAUUUAACGAAACAAUUUGGGUCGCUUCGACAACCCCGUGCGCCAUGUCUUUGUUGUACCAAUAGAACCCCGUUCCCGUGCGAGCCCCUAACGUGGGGCGGCCCUGGCAUCGCGCUAUCGUACCACACGCACACGCACAUCGAUACGUACGAUGCAUUGGCACACAUCGAUACGUACGAUGCAUUGGCACACAUCGCUCGGAGCUGACAUUUAUAAACACUGUGUCGCAGCGAGGUACACAGAGGCUUUCAUUCAACCCGAGCCCGAUCGUGCAUGAGUUGCGCGAGUUAUCGGGAAGCGGGUAGGAAGGGAAGUAGAGGGGUACAAGGGGAUCGCACGCACAAAAAUCGGGCGCACGGAUUUCUCAGAGAUGAAAGCGCCAGCGUGACAGCUGGCGAAAAUUUCCGGGCAUCCCUGAGAGGCAAAGGGUACGAGGAUCAGCUCUGAAUGCUACUAACGAAAAGCAAAAGAAAACAUUUUAGAUACACAUACUUUACAUAUUAAACACACGAAUUCGUAUCGAUCACUUCUGCACUAUCCGCAGACUUGUGUUCCCUUUAAGACGUACAAAGCCAAAAAAACAUGCAAAAAAAUAGUAUCAAUUUAAUUUAGAAAAUGUAAAUGUGGACAGGAAAUGAGAUUGAAAAUGAAAAAUUUAUAUGAAUCGUAAGAAAAUGGAAAAAAAGGAUAUCGAGAGAAAAAGACACUAGUUUAGUCCGAACAGAUGUGAUGUAAUCACGGCUGGCAAGCGGCCUAGAAAUUGCCUCUGAAAUUCCGAGCGACAGAAGACGCCGAAAGACGCGGGCUAGAGUGUAUCCGGCACAGGGAAAAACACCAACACACCAUAGAGAUCUCGAGAGCGAGGCAUUCUUGCGUUGCGAGUGAGUGCUGGCGGAAAAGUGCUCUCCAUUCUUUUUAUUGUUUUUUUUUUAUAACAAUUUUACCGAUCAUCCGCUUGCGCAUCGAGGCGUGUACAGCCUUCGUAUCUUGCACGGCCUCUUCAUGGUCGGCAUGAUCAAACGUUUUCCGCGUAGGACAAAUUGCGACUCGCGGCGGAAGCGGGCGAAGGAGUGUACUUGUGUACACUUCAUUCGGCCUCGCAAGAGCCGAUCUGACGUUGAAACGACGCUUGAUAUCAAUCUGUCAUAAAUUACCCACGGAAAACCAUGAUUAGCGUCGGAUUAAUUAACAUAUACACGCGCGCGUUCCCACGUGCGGAAAGAGAGAGACGGCGAGAUCGAGGAGACGUUGGCAAAUGCACCUCUGUGAAGUUACUUCACACUUCGUUACUUUAAAUGGCAGAACUCUUUCUAAAAUGGACUGAGAACUCUAGAACUCUUCGGGGGGGGGGGGGGGGCAAUAAGAACUCUACUCAUUUUGUUCAAAUUUAAAAGUUGGGGGACCAACUUCACAGAGGUGGCCUGUGACCGGCCGGAGCGGGUCCGGCGAACUGGCCGACUUCGCGCGGAUGAGCGAGUCGAUGGCGAUGGUGCGAAAACGCUUCUGUCCCUUGAGGAACGCUCUCGUCAACCCUCACGGUGGCAGCGCGACCCUUACGCGUUUUACGAGCUCGUAAAACGUCGCGUUUCCUUUAUCUACGUGAGACCGAGGUAAAAACGCGCGAUUGAAAACUCGGUUUUCCCGGCGGGUUAACGAGAGACCCGGAGGUAUCCCGGAAAUGGGAGACAGCGCGUUCGCAUGUGAGCGUUAGCGAGCUCGGCGAUUUUCGCGCAAGAAGCCACCUCGCCGCCGUUCCUCGCCCUUUCUCGAAAUUUUACAACCGCUCGUUUACGCGGGAAAGUUUCGGACGCGAAGGCAUUUAGCGCUGGGAUGUGCCCGGGGAGAAUAGGUCGAAGCGGUUCCUGUGCGGGAGUAAAUUACGUUUUGAAUUAUGACUGAAAGCCGGAAUAGGUCGCGAUAGAAGUUAUCGCACCGUGCGAUGAUCGAUAUCGAUUAAAAGUCGGGAGAGAAAGAGAGUUUAGAAUUUAUGGCUGUUUAAAAAGCUGACGACCGAGACGAUUGCUGCGUGAGUGUUCUAAUGUUAGACGUUGAUGUCGAUCUGGAGAAAUUCACUCGGCCAGCUGUGUAAAUUUUGCGUUACGCUCCGGCCAAGUGUGCCAUUUUGCAGCCGAUGCGGCGAAACCGGCGUAUUCUUCCAUCAGCCGUUCGCCAUAAAGCGAGAAUAAUGCUAUAACGCCGUAAUUUAUGGCGCCGUCGUCUUCGCUGGUAAAAAAAAGAAAAGAAAAGAAAAAAAGAGAAAGAAAGAAAGACUCGGAAACGGUAUACGUACGCACAUUCGUACAUGCAAAACGAGUACAUGCCAAAUUCUGCUUCGCGGAGUUGAGUCGAUUCAUUCGAUGCACAUAUGAAUCUUUCAGAAAUUAUAAAUUAUAACUAGUCAAGUCAAAUUUCUCGUUUUUAGUUAUAAUACAUUAUUGAUACAGUAUCGUUCAAUUCAUUCAAAACUGAACGAUAUAAUUCCUCCGUGUCAUUGAAGAAGCAUAUCUUUUCGCGAAAUCGCGUAAUUGCUUGUACGGCCCGAUCGUUUCACGAGGAACAAAAGGACUCGUCAAAUGCUGCAUCACGAAUAUCCGUUGCCAACGCAUCGAACGGCAUUCACGCACGCGAUUGCAGGUUGCUCCAGCGAGCGAGGAAACGUGACACCGGGAACAUCACAAUAAAAUCGCCGUUUCCGCACAAAAAACGGAAGUACUCACGAAAAAUGAUCGAUGGUUCCGGGGACCGACCCGCGGGAAGAAAUGAUCGGUUUCGCGUCGAUGGGCUCUUCACCCUCUUCCCCUGCGCGUUCGCGAAUUGCCGCACGAAAUCACCAACAUCACGAAAUUGUUAUGUGCAUAUAUAUAUAUAUAUAUAUAUAUAUAUAUAUUUAUAUAUAUGCACUGAUUUCCAGGAAUCUCUCGUCACUAAUUCAAUGUUCGAAGAAUGCCGCACGCGUGGCGUGACGUCUACUCACGAUUUCAUGACGACGACGUUUCGGAAACUCGGAUUUCCGCCCCGAUAUGGGAUAUAUAGGGUUGCUGGAUGUACAGAGCUUCUCGCGAUCGAUCGCGUGAUGUGAAAUUAUGCCAUCGCGAGGAACGUCGAGCAACGUCGCCAAAGUUCCUCCAAACUCUCCGACGUCAUAAAUUCGAUAUUCAUAAAUUUGUAUUCCGAUUACGUCGUCAGUGCAGUUCUGUAGUUCUGUCUCGCGUUAAAUUUCAUCUGCACGUUGGAUUGCUUAAUUCGACUGGAUCGCGUUCUCUUUCGGCGGCUUUGGAGGCUACUUGAUAUCUCCAUUUGAUUCGGGAAUAAAUGUAGCAUAAUAAAACCUUCACGGUGUUGUGAUAGAUCGAUAGUAAUUUGAUGAGAUGAUAAUGACGGUCAUUGAAUUCACAGAUAGCUAUCAUGAAACAUUCGCGUGAAUAGUUAACAGUCAAGUUGCUUCUCGCAUUAAGCGGAUCGAUGAGAGCUAAUCAAUUAUUUCUUGCAUUAAAUUGAAUUUAAAAUUAAAUUGCGUAAUUUAAUAUAGAAUUAAAUCAAAAUGUAAUUCUCGUAACGUUAUCAGAAUAUGCAUUGAAAACGCUUAUUGUGCGAGAAAAUAGGAAAGGAUUGAAUUUUCAUGUCGACACAUCCUUUACAAUAUCAUCAUCAUCAUUAUUAUUAUUAACAAGAGUUGCAUAUAAAACAUGCUUAAUACGCGUUAACUAAAACCCUAAUCUAUCGCUAUCCCCAAAUCAUCUCAACAUUUUUCUAUUCUUCAAUAAAUCGUUAUUAGUGUAACAAAAAAAGAAAGGAAAACAGUGAAAAUGACAUAAGCAUAGAUCGACCUCCCUCUGUGUGCAAUACUGCUAAAUAACACUCUCUCCUUCCAAAUCUUGCCAAUCGCGAGAUCAGCGAGUGACGUCCGCUCGAGAGCUCGCGCGAUUUCUAUUUAGCAUCCGUAAUGCGUCCGGCGGAAUGCGGUUUUGCGGAGCUGGACAACGCGAAAAAUAGAUUCCCUCCGGUAUGACGGAGUCUACUCAAUUAUCCAUAGUAAUACUCGUUGUUGCUCGCGAGCUCGGUUAUUUACUCCGUUUCUCUCUUUCUCUCUGCAUUCGGUCAUUAAUGUAACGACUGUUACGCGCCGUCCGGCAGUAACUGUCCGCUUGACUUUUCAAUCUAUUACCAGUCACCACCGAGGCUGGUCGAUAUUGGAUAUUAUGUCUGGCGUACGUCAGUUAUAUACGCGCGCAGGCGAGUACACGUUCGUUUACGAGCAAAACUCGUUCGCUUGUAAAACGCUGCAGCGUGGGGGAGGGAGUUCAUGUGCGCCUCCGUGCAAUCGAAAUCAUUUUUACGGGGCCUUUGUGCGCGGGGCAAUUUAUCGUCCGCCAUUUUUCAUCACCGCGGUUGCAUCGACGGUGCAACUCGCAAUUUCUCGAUUUGGCGCGAUGUCGGGAGACGCGAAGCGCAUGGAGUGCUCGUCAAAGGGCAAGAGGUCAGACGCGGGACUAAUGAGGGAGGAAAAGGAAUCAACGAAAGGGAGACAACGCUCCUGGAAGCCGUCAAUUGCUUCCUAAUGAAACUAAUAUUUUUUGUUGAGAGCGUUUGCUUCCGCGUGAUGCAUCGCUACAUCUAGACGCGACCCGGAUUACUCAGUUAAUCACCUAAUAGUCACGUGCACUUCAGCCAAGCAAGAUUCCAGUGAAAUUUCUCAACAAAAGUGAUUUUUAGAUUAAUCGAAAAUCAAUCAAUAUUUGACUGCUGAGAACAGAUCGCCGUAAACCGAUAAAAAGUAAACCAAACGUCAACUGUUUUCAGUCAAGUCGUUCCGUGACUUCAUCAGCAAUUCUCUGAUUUGAUGAGAGUUACUGAGAACUUGAGUGACUACAUGACGUGCUGAUUCAAUCAACGACCUUUUCCCUGAUUCAGUUUACGAGAGCACGAUUCUUCGUAUUCUCCAUUUGUCUCGCAUAUCUCCAAGUGAUAAAUUUUAUUAUCCACGUAUGGAUGAAUGUGGCGAACGAAUCGCGAGACUCGCGAGGACACACAUGUUGCCGUGUUCAACGGGAUACACGCAGGUAUCUCCGUUCACUAUCGGGAAUUAUCGAUGAGCGGGGAACGGCGGCAAUUUGCCGCGAUCUCUUCGUGGCAAAUUGCAAUGCAACAUGGCGGCGGUAACGGCCGACGGCCGGUCAUUGUUCUGCAAUUACUGUUCUAUCUAAUCGCUGCAUUAAUGGCUAGGAGCAAGUCGUCGAGCGUUUCUCGAUAUCUAAUCGUAAAAAGAGUCGGCGAUACGCGGCAGAGAGGAGCGAUUGCAGCGAUUCCCAUUUGUCGCGGUCCACGCGAUCAUCCACUCUUUUCUCUAACGAUUUCCGGUCGAUCUGUUUUCUAUAAUAUUAAUUGUAUAAUAAGUGAUUAUACAAUUCUGAUAAAAGGAUAACGAAAGACACAGAAGAAAGAUAAUGAAUCUUUACACAGAGACGAAGUUACGAAGGACAAAUGAAAUGAAUAUGUAAUUAUAUGUAACUGAAGCGUAAUUAAGAACAGAAUUAAAUGAAUAAAUUAUUUUAAUCCUAUUGUAGAUCCAACAAAAGCACACAGUACACAGAGCACAUAAUUAAACCAGAAUUACGGAACCUUCAUUAUUAACGAGCAUCUUCAUAAUUCUGAAUUAGAAUCAGAAUUAGAUUACGCACGAUCGCCGUCGCAAUUGCGCAUCGUUCUCGCCCGAGCGUCUCGCAGUCUUACGCAGAAUUCUUCAUGAUUCACGCUCUCGCUGGUAUUAAUAUUUGCGCCCAUUAUGCGAACGCGAACGUGCCUAAAUGCCGCGAGGCCGAGUAAGCCACGCGUGCGUGAGGAACAAAUAUUUUUGACUCUUCGCGCCGCUACACGCCGCGCGCGGUCACGAGCACUACUUGCGAAGCGAGAAGGGUUACACGAGGGCCCGAAGGACACAACGCGAGCCGUCCGAGAAUGAUUUAACUACGCCGUGCCGCGCAGGCCGUAAACCAUUCGAGGAAUCGGAUUCCCUAAUUACAAAGUCAUCCGGUCGAGUUUCUGGGCUGGGGGCGGUUCGCGGCGAGACCCCUUCGAGGAAUCCCCCGGCAACAAAACGCAAACGAGAUCUCCGCAAAUCCAAUCGCGCAAGAAAGGGACAAUGUCCUUCCUUUCGCUUCCACCGCUCGACGGCACGAUCGACGCGAGAUUUACACCCUUCCUCUCCUUUCGUUUCUCCCCCCGAGCUGGACCGAAUCGUACUAUCAAUAAUAUGAGGUAAAACGUCGUUGUACAUCACCUCUUGACCCCACCGAGGAAUCUUGGAAACGGUCUUUGAUGACCGCCGUGUUAUCGGCGAUCGACUGAUACUUGAGUCUCUCUCUCUCUCUCUCUCUUUUGCUUUUUCUCUCUUGCAUGAAGCUCGUGCCAAAGCUGGCUGACCAGUUAUCGCCGGAGAUAUACAUCCGGACGUAUCGUAAAUCAUUCCUGCCCGUAGAUAAGAUCCCACAUCACGUUCUCGUGGAUUUCGCACAGAUCGAUACGCGGCAGUGCCGACGAUAAUUAUAACCAUUGAGAGGUCCAAGAGGUCUCUAUCGGGACAUACGACGGGCGUUACCGUGGCUCGACUUCGGUAAUAGGUAGCGUCAAGCAUCGAGCAUGCAUGAUACUUAAAAUAAACAUACGUUAAGGUUGAUAAAAACAUAAUGCAAACAGCAUGUGUGAUCGAGUCUUUAGAUAGCUUCUAUCGAAUUGGAAAUUUAUAGAAAUCUUGCAGUUUAUAAAAAUUUUUAUAAUAUAAUUUUAAUAUAUCUAAUAUAAAUAAAAAAUGUAACACUAUUUCACCAAAAUAUUUCCCAAGUUUAUCCAAGAGGACUAAAGUUAUACCAUUACCAAUAAGCAUUAUCCUCAGGCAACAGAUUUAGAUAAAAAAAAACACGGUUUUGCGUCCCAUCUGACUCAUCUUAUAUACGAGUCCAUUGUUUUAGCGUCCGUUUCUUGCGUCGGAGGCAAAAAAAGUUAGAUAGAUCUUGUUUUUUCUUACGGUCUCACGUCUCGGUGUUUUUCGUUGAAAAAUCCUGGAUACGCGCGGCUGGUUUUUUGUACCACGUCCGAAAGAUGAAUGCGAGCAGCGAGAUAUACACGGGAUAGUACAGAUACAAACGUCGACGGUACAAAAGAGAGGGAAAGCCCGUACAAUACACAAAUGCAACACGGAAGCCGUCGAGUCCAACUGCCUGCACUGAUACGUCGGAAAGAGAUGCAAGCAGAUGGACGCAAUAUAUUGCCACCCAGAUUUUGAUAAUGUCGACCGAAACAAGAAUUCUUUACGGUCUACCACUAGCCGACGAAGCCGUCGGUUCUUCUCUUUUUCUCUAUCUGUUAUAAUGUAACAAGCGAGUUUAGUGCGUUUCGUUAUCUUAGUAUAGCUAUUCCAAAGAUAGAAACUCAUUGCUCUCGAUUUUCUUAUAAUGUGAUCAUAACUAAAUUGACUUUAUAAAAUUCUGUCGACAAAGUAAAGUAGAUUGCUUAUCAGACGUCGCAUUUGUUUUCUGACGCAACGAUAAUCUUCGUGACGCACGGUUACAUCAUAACGCACGCGGCCACGCGGGAUCUCGCGUAUAGCUGCAGCAUUACGACGUAACGAGAACCGGAAGGCAUCGCGGAACGAGCUCGCUCGUGCGAUUAAAUGGCAACCGAAUUUCAUAAUUAACGGCGCAUGUCCACCGCGGGAGUCACGGCCGUAAUUAAAUCCGCGUCGCGGCGGGAUACACGGACGUCGGCGCGCAUAAAUCUGCUCGCUUUGCAAUUAAAGCGCGCCGUUUCCUUCGUCGGCUCGCGGCUUUAAGUUGCACGCGCAACGCGCGCGCUGCGCCGUGCGUGGCGAAGCGUAUUCGACAAGUGCCGGCAAAAUAGUCGGAAGCAAACAGCACUUCGACCGAUCUGUCAGUGUCGGUCGGGCAAUUAAAACGGAAAUUAACUGGCUCCCGAAGCAGUCGCGCGCUGCUAGAUGAAACGCAGAUAUGAGAAACCCAUUUUCCAUUCAGUGCUGUUUUCAAUUAGACUGUCACUGGGAUGAAAGGGUUCUCGUUCAAAAAUCAUAAGCGUGACACGAGGGAUCGAUAUGAAAGAUCCGCGGACGGUUCUUCGUUCUCCAUUUUUACCGAAUCGAUGGAGGAUCGAUGGGAAACACUCGAGCGACGCGGAUCCAGCUUACAUGCCUCAUCGCGUCAUCAGACGUCAUCAUCUAGAUCUAGUGACUUUCGAUUCAGCGUGCCUAAUGCCAGGCACCCUGAAAUUCAAGAGUCAAAAAAGCCACGGCGCGACCCGUAAAUGUUUUCGCACGUGCUACGAUUUCACGAAACCGAUCGACUGACAGACAGACAGACAGACAGACAGACAGACGGACGGGAUGUUACCCGGUUGAUGCGGAGCGCCAUUGUACCUGGCGAAAUCGUCACGGCCGAUAAUCCUUACGUCGGAUCGGUUUAAGGAUUUAAUCUAUUGAGGUGCGGCGGCGCGUCGCGGUUCACUACCCUCUGUAGUUUUUUUUUCUUUUUCUUCGGCGCAAGGAGUAGAAAGAAAGAGGCGAGAGGAGGGAUGAAAGAAAAAGACACCACGCACGAUCUCGCAGAUGCGCCGCACAAAGGGGCUCAGAUUGGACGCGUAUCUUUUAUUGGCCCAGCUUCCGAGUAGAGAAAGAUAGACCGAAACAGACAGAAAGGAAGAGAGAGAGGGGGGGAGAGAGGAAGAAAAGAGGUGAAAAGGAAGAGACACGGCAACGAUGCACGAUGAAAUCCUUUGACGAGGCGCGUCUUUGUCGCGCGGCUGGUCGCUCGCGCGCGGAUCUCGGCUGAUUUUGGUAAAGCGAGGAAGCAACGUCGUGGUAACCCAGUUUCGUUCGCGGACGAGCGUGCCGGAGGGCGUCAAGCAACGACGAUGAAGAGGACGAGGGCCUUUGUUGGGAAAUUCUGCUCGUGGUGUGGAAUUGGACGAGCUUGCGGAUGGCUCGUCGAAGUUCACGUUAUAAUGUGUUAUCAGCAAACCAGAUUAUCCCGCGUUUGAGAAACUGGCGAUAACGUUUGCUCGGUACUCGUGAACGAGGAACUAUCACGAGUAACGUUGAGACGCUUAGCGUCGAAAAUUGAUGUUAGAAAUUUGCAGAAGUCUGAAUUUUUAUAUAUUUUUCGAUCUUGUCUUUUCUAUUAAGUCGUUAACUAAAUAACCUAGACCGCGUAACUUUAAUAAAAUUAAUGAUAGAAGAAUCACAAAUUUAACAAAUAAUUAUUUUCUUGAUAAUACAACAUUAUUCGCGAAGCAACUUCGAGAAAAAAUACAGACAUAAAUUGAAGAACACAAGAGCACUUUAAAAUUCUUUCGUUUACAGAUAAAUCACUUGAGCACGGUUUCAUCGUCCACGUACGCAGCCAUUGGCGUAAUAUACUCAUGUCUCAAGAGAUUAAUUGCAAAGAUUAUAUCAUUGGAUUAAGAGGAGCAUGCAACAUCAAAGCUGAUAAAUCAAGUAUCCGAAAUUCAUCGUGCAAUUCGUUAUCGCUGCCACUUGUAGCCAUCAAGUUACGAUUCUAUCUGAAUUUUCUGACGUUACGCCAACCCCUUGAAUGAGAAUGGCCUUGUCAUCGUGGAUAUGUCGUUGCCGGUAUCGUCGGAAGUUCCUCGUAAACCGAACCGUUUUCCCAUCGUUAUGCCGCGUCCAAGAGAGAUACCGGGUCCGACCGAGCACCGGUAUUUCGCGGUAAGCCUGCAGUGAGCCGAAUGUCUAUUUCGGUAAGUCGGUGGACGCAGUCGGUAGAUAAGACGGGGCAAGGGGGAUGAAUUGCGAUCUGCGCGCGAACUUUCUCACAGAUAUGCAGCGGUAGAGCGGUGACUAUCGGAGCCGCGGCGUUAUCGUUUCGCUGAUAGCUGGCACUAGACGUGGGUUACGCAACACUUAGGGUCAACGUAUCCGCGGCUGACUUUAUGCAAUUGCAUGUCGUACGCUAUGAAUAGCACUCCCAGCGACAGCCGUAAACCAACUUUACCGUGAACAAGUCGAUGCACUCGCCGCGGCUUCGUAUAGAUAGAGAGGCGCUUAGAAAAUUCUAUUUUUGCGUCGCGCCGUGCCUGCUUGUAAGCCACUCGAUCGAUCGAUCGAUUGCACAAUGCGAGAUGAUAUCUGCGAUAAAAGUUGUGAUUCUUAUCAUCGUAAGAAUGUGUAUGUGCGCGCGCGAUCGGUUAAGCAUAAGUAAUCUUAACUCGGAUGGAAAAAAUAUAUUUUCUCGCUUUGCUCGAUCUAUUCAUAUUUUAAUGCAAUUUUGUAUUUCACAAUUUAAUGUAGCGCUUAAUACGUUUGGCAUAUAUUACCUUGGCGCACUCGUUUGACUUUCUUGUGUCGCGACGAAGGUAAAUUCGUAGACUUGGAAUCAACAUUGUAUAUUAUUCAUUUAUUCGUUUGCGUCGGCAAAGUGUGGAAAAUUCACUUUAUGUUUGUCGAAAGUGAGGAAAAUUAUGUGUUUCCGCAGAUAUACAAUAUAAAAAAAGAAGAAAAAGGGCGAGUUACAUAAAGUAUAAUGCGGAAUGCAAUUGUAUUAAAAAUAUGACAGUCCACCCGAUUCGUCUCUAAACCUGUAUUGAAGGAAUAAACAAAUACAUUCAGAGAUCGCAAAUCGCGACGGGGAAAAAA
Ooceraea biroi (clonal raider ant) is the source of this 21070-nucleotide long non-coding RNA. RefSeq lists it as uncharacterized. The record is from RefSeq and is a predicted model, not a curated record. Lineage: Eukaryota; Metazoa; Arthropoda; Insecta; Hymenoptera; Formicidae.